This 1093-nucleotide ribosomal RNA is filed under the name Salmonella enterica. Its description in RNAcentral is "bacterial SSU rRNA". It matches the Rfam family "Bacterial small subunit ribosomal RNA", at positions 20 to 1102 of the family's 1533-position model. RNAcentral also lists the same sequence under 1 other name. Lineage: Bacteria; Pseudomonadati; Pseudomonadota; Gammaproteobacteria; Enterobacterales; Enterobacteriaceae. The record is from RNAcentral.
UGGCUCAGAUUGAACGCUGGCGGCAGGCCUAACACAUGCAAGUCGAACGGUAACAGGAAGCAGCUUGCUGCUUUGCUGACGAGUGGCGGACGGGUGAGUAAUGUCUGGGAAACUGCCUGAUGGAGGGGGAUAACUACUGGAAACGGUGGCUAAUACCGCAUAACGUCGCAAGACCAAAGAGGGGGACCUUCGGGCCUCUUGCCAUCAGAUGUGCCCAGAUGGGAUUAGCUUGUUGGUGAGGUAACGGCUCACCAAGGCGACGAUCCCUAGCUGGUCUGAGAGGAUGACCAGCCACACUGGAACUGAGACACGGUCCAGACUCCUACGGGAGGCAGCAGUGGGGAAUAUUGCACAAUGGGCGCAAGCCUGAUGCAGCCAUGCCGCGUGUAUGAAGAAGGCCUUCGGGUUGUAAAGUACUUUCAGCGGGGAGGAAGGUGUUGUGGUUAAUAACCGCAGCAAUUGACGUUACCCGCAGAAGAAGCACCGGCUAACUCCGUGCCAGCAGCCGCGGUAAUACGGAGGGUGCAAGCGUUAAUCGGAAUUACUGGGCGUAAAGCGCACGCAGGCGGUCUGUCAAGUCGGAUGUGAAAUCCCCGGGCUCAACCUGGGAACUGCAUUCGAAACUGGCAGGCUUGAGUCUUGUAGAGGGGGGUAGAAUUCCAGGUGUAGCGGUGAAAUGCGUAGAGAUCUGGAGGAAUACCGGUGGCGAAGGCGGCCCCCUGGACAAAGACUGACGCUCAGGUGCGAAAGCGUGGGGAGCAAACAGGAUUAGAUACCCUGGUAGUCCACGCCGUAAACGAUGUCUACUUGGAGGCUGUGCCCUUGAGGCGUGGCUUCCGGAGCUAACGCGUUAAGUAGACCGCCUGGGGAGUACGGCCGCAAGGUUAAAACUCAAAUGAAUUGACGGGGGCCCGCACAAGCGGUGGAGCAUGUGGUUUAAUUCGAUGCAACGCGAAGAACCUUACCUGGUCUUGACAUCCACAGAAGUUUGCAGAGAUGCGAAUGUGCCUUCGGGAACUGUGAGACAGGUGCUGCAUGGCUGUCGUCAGCUCGUGUUGUGAAAUGUUGGGUUAAGUCCCGCAACGAGCGCAAC